GAUGAACGCUGGCGGCGUGCCUAAUACAUGCAAGUCGAGCGAACAGACGAGGAGCUUGCUCCUCUGACGUUAGCGGCGGACGGGUGAGUAACACGUGGAUAACCUACCUAUAAGACUGGGAUAACUUCGGGAAAGCGGAGCUAAUACCGGAUAAUAUAUUGAACCGCAUGGUUCAAUGGUGAAUGACGGUUUUGCUGUCUCUUAUAGCUGGAUCCGCGCUGUAUUAGCUGGUUGGUAAGGUAACGGCUUACGAAGGCGACCAUGCGUAGCCGAACUCAGAGGCUGGUCGGCCACACUGGAGGUGGAACACGGUCCAGGCUCCUGCGGGACGGAGCAGUAGGGAACCGUCCGCAACGGGGGGAAACCUGACGGAGCAACGCCGCGUGAGUGAUGAAGGUCUUCGGAGCGUAAAACUCUGUUAUUAGGGAAGAACAAAUGUGUAGGUAACUGUGCCCGUCUUGACGGUACCUAAUCAGAAAGCCACGGCUAACUACGUG
Molecule: ribosomal RNA, 497 nt
Filed under: uncultured bacterium
Lineage: Bacteria
Description: partial 16S ribosomal RNA
Rfam family: Bacterial small subunit ribosomal RNA
Source: RNAcentral